AGGGAAUCUUCCGCAAUGGACGAAAGUCUGACGGAGCAACGCCGCGUGAGUGAAGAAGGCCUUCGGGUCGUAAAACUCUGUUGCCGGGGAAGAACAAGUGCCGUUCGAAUAGGGCGGUACCUUGACGGUACCUAACCAGAAAGCCACGGCUAACUACGUGCCAGCAGCCGCGGUAAUACGUAGGUGGCAAGCGUUGUCCGGAAUUAUUGGGCGUAAAGCGCGCGCAGGCGGUUUCUUAAGUCUGAUGUGAAAUCUUGCGGCUCAACCGCAAGCGGUCAUUGGAAACUGGGAGGCUUGAGUGCAGAAGAGGAGAGUGGAAUUCCACGUGUAGCGGUGAAAUGCGUAGAGAUGUGGAGGAACACCAGUGGCGAAGGCGGCUCUCUGGUCUGUAACUGACGCUGAGGCAUGAAAGCGUGGGGAGCAAAC
Molecule: ribosomal RNA, 426 nt
Filed under: uncultured bacterium
Lineage: Bacteria
Description: bacterial SSU rRNA
Rfam family: Bacterial small subunit ribosomal RNA
Source: RNAcentral